CCCGCUGAAUUUAAGCAUAUUACUAAGCAGAGGAAAAUAAACUAACCAGGAUUCCCUCAGUAGCGGCGAGCGAAGAGGAA
This is a non-coding RNA of Salmo salar (Atlantic salmon), 80 nucleotides long. The record is from Rfam. NCBI's taxonomy places the organism in Eukaryota, Metazoa, Chordata, Actinopteri, Salmoniformes, Salmonidae.